CAUCAAAGUAACUCAAAAACCCUAGAUUGGAAAAAUGAAGGUUUUAAAGCAUAAUUUUGAAAGAAAUCUCAAGAAAUAGUUUCAAAUUUCAAGAAAAACACGGAUCUAGAACAAAUCAAAAGAAAUCAGAAAAAACCUCAAAAGAUAGGGUUUUAGAGAAACCCAAACAGUGAGAAAGGCUUGGAUAGUCGUUCAUCUAAGUAGGAGGAGUUGAGGCCAGACUCAAACAGACAUGGCUUGCCAAAGCAAGGCCGGAUAUGGCCAUGGAACUUGAAUCAAGCAAGGUAUGGACCCAGCUUCUUCGUGGUCAGAUCAUGAGACUUCAGUAACCAAGCGUAGAGGAUCCAUAGAAGGCUGGUUGGUGGUGAAACCACCAUGGAUUCAGGAAAGAAAUGGCCGGAGAAGGUAAGUGAAGCUAAUCAGAGCGAAAGGGAGGGGGGGAGGAUGCAGAGAGAACCACCGAUAAAGAUAGAGAGAUGAGAGUUGGUUGAGUGAGGAAUGAAAAAGGUUUAGGGAGUCGUUUGGUUUAAU
Molecule: long non-coding RNA, 531 nt
Filed under: Nicotiana benthamiana
Lineage: Eukaryota; Viridiplantae; Streptophyta; Magnoliopsida; Solanales; Solanaceae
Description: long non-coding RNA (NBEN_LNC039686)
Source: RNAcentral